AAGCAAGAUGUGCUUCGGUGCCUCUGGUGCCGCCUUUAUGCAGUGAAGCCUUAUUUGUCUGAACCAAAAUCAAAAAGUUAAAACUUUCAACAAAGGAUCUCUUGGCUCUCACAUCGAUGAAGAACGCAGCGAAGCGCGAAAUGUAGUGUGAAUCGCAGAACUUAGUGAAUCAUCGAAUCUUUGAACGCACAUUGCGCCUCCCAUCAUCGGGAGGCAUGCCUGUCUGAGCGUCAUUUAAACCAUAGCUCCCAUCUGGGACUGUACUGGGCAUCGCCGACGGCGUAGCUUCAAAGACAUUGGUCUAAUCAAGCGGACGAGUUCCUUUAGGACGGACCGUUGGGUUGACCUUAAACCUCUGACUUGACCUCAGAUCAGGUAGGGCUACCGCCUGAACUUAAGCAUAUCAAUAAGCGGA
RNAcentral lists this ribosomal RNA (415 nucleotides) under uncultured fungus. Its description in RNAcentral is "eukaryotic LSU rRNA". The stretch from base 82 to 233 matches the Rfam family "5.8S ribosomal RNA". The record is from RNAcentral. Lineage: Eukaryota; Fungi.